This 464-nucleotide ribosomal RNA is filed under the name Vreelandella stevensii. RNAcentral's name for it is "partial 16S ribosomal RNA". It matches the Rfam family "Bacterial small subunit ribosomal RNA", at positions 338 to 795 of the family's 1533-position model. Lineage: Bacteria; Pseudomonadati; Pseudomonadota; Gammaproteobacteria; Oceanospirillales; Halomonadaceae. The record is from RNAcentral.
CCUACGGGAGGCUGCAGUGGGAAUAUUGGACAAUGGGGGGAACCCUGAUCCAGCCAUGCCGCGUGUGUGAAGAAGGCCCUCGGGUUGUGAAGCACUUUCAGUGAGGAAGAACGCCUGGUGGUUAAUACCCAUCAGGAAAGACAUCACUCACAGAAGAAGCAACGGCUAACUCCGUGCCAGCAGCCGCGGUAAUACGGAGGGUGCGAGCGUUAAUCGGAAUUACUGGGCGUAAAGCGCGCGUAGGUGGCUUGAUAAGCCGGUUGUGAAAGCCCCGGGCUCAACCUGGGAACGGCAUCCGGAACUGUCAAGCUAGAGUGCAGGAGAGGAAGGUAGAAUUCCCGGUGUAGCGGUGAAAUGCGUAGAGAUCGGGAGGAAUACCAGUGGCGAAGGCGGCCUUCUGGACUGACACUGACACUGAGGUGCGAAAGCGUGGGUAGCAAACAGGAUUAGAUACCCCGGUAGUC